UAGGGAAUAUUGCACAAUGGAGGAAACUCUGAUGCAGCGACGCCGCGUGAGUGAUGACGGUUUUCGGAUUGUAAAGCUCUGUUCUUAGGGAAUAAGAAAGUGAAUGUACCUAAGAAGAAAGCACCGGCUAACUUCGUGCCAGCAGCCGCGGUAAUACGAGGGGUGCAAGCGUUGUUCGGAAUCAUUGGGCGUAAAGCGGGUGUAGGUGGCUAUAUAAGUCAGAAGUGAAAGCCCAGGGCUCAACCUUGGAAGUGCUUUUGAUACUGUAUAGCUUGAGUGUAAGAGAGGUUACUGGAAUUCCUGGUGUAGUGGUGAAAUACGUAGAGAUCAGGAGGAACAUCGGUGGCGAAGGCGGGUAACUGGCUUAACACUGACACUCAGACCCGAAAGCGUGGGGAGCAAACAGGAUUAGAUACCCCCGUAGUCC
Molecule: ribosomal RNA, 427 nt
Filed under: uncultured prokaryote
Description: bacterial SSU rRNA
Rfam family: Bacterial small subunit ribosomal RNA
Source: RNAcentral